This 1364-nucleotide ribosomal RNA is filed under the name uncultured marine bacterium. Its description in RNAcentral is "16S ribosomal RNA". It matches the Rfam family "Bacterial small subunit ribosomal RNA", at positions 27 to 1381 of the family's 1533-position model. The record is from RNAcentral.
GAUUGAACGCUGGCGGUAUGCUUAACACAUGCAAGUCGAACGGAAACGAUACUAGCUUGCUAGUAGGCGUCGAGUGGCGGACGGGUGAGUAACGCGUAGGAAUCUACCUGAUAGUGGGGGAUAGCCCGAAGAAAUUCGGAUUAAUACCGCAUAAUCUAUUCGUAGUAAAGUGGGGGACUUUCGAGCCUCACGCUAUCAGAUGAGCCUGCGUAAGAUUAGCUAGUUGGUAGGGUAAAAGCCUACCAAGGCAACGAUCUUUAGCUGGUCUGAGAGGAUGAUCAGCCACAUCGGGACUGAGACACGGCCCGAACUCCUACGGGAGGCAGCAGUGGGGAAUAUUGGACAAUGGGGGCAACCCUGAUCCAGCAAUACCGCGUGUGUGAAGAAGGCCUGAGGGUUGUAAAGCACUUUCAAUUGUGAAGAAAAGCUAGUGGUUAAUAGCCAUUAGCCUUGACAUUAACUUUAGAAGAAGCACCGGCUAACUCCGUGCCAGCAGCCGCGGUAAUACGGAGGGUGCAAGCGUUAAUCGGAAUUACUGGGCGUAAAGCGUGCGUAGGCGGUUUAUUAAGUCAGAUGUGAAAGCCCCGGGCUUAACCUGGGAACUGCAUUUGAAACUGGUCAACUAGAGUAUGGUAGAGGAAAGUGGAAUUUCUGGUGUAGCGGUGAAAUGCGUAGAUAUCAGAAGGAACAUCAAUGGCGAAAGGCAACUUUCUGGACCAAUACUGACGCUGAGGUACGAAAGCGUGGGUAGCAAACAGGAUUAGAUACCCUGGUAGUCCACGCCGUAAACGAUGAUAACUAGCCGUUGGGGGGAUUUACCCCUUAGUGGCGAAGCUAACGCGUUAAGUUAUCCGCCUGGGGAGUACGGCCGCAAGGUUAAAACUCAAAGGAAUUGACGGGGACCCGCACAAGCGGUGGAGCAUGUGGUUUAAUUCGAUGCAACGCGAAGAACCUUACCUGGUCUUGACAUCCUGAGAACUUUCUAGAAAUAGAUUGGUGCCUUCGGGAACUCAGUGACAGGUGCUGCAUGGCUGUCGUCAGCUCGUGUCGUGAGAUGUUGGGUUAAGUCCCGUAACGAGCGCAACCCCUAUCCUUAUUUGCCAGCACAUCAUGGUGGGAACUAUAAGGAGACUGCCGGUGAUAAACCGGAGGAAGGCGGGGACGACGUCAAGUCAUCAUGGCCCUUACGACCAGGGCUACACACGUGCUACAAUGGGAAGGACAAAGAGCCGCGAAGCCGCGAGGUGUAGCUAAUCUCAGAAACCUUUUCGUAGUCCGGAUUGGAGUCUGCAACUCGACUCCAUGAAGUCGGAAUCGCUAGUAAUCGUAGAUCAGAAUGCUACGGUGAAUACGUUCCCGGGUCU